AAUAGAUACCCUGGUAGUCCACGCCGUAAACGUUGGAUACUAGGUGUGGCGGUUAUACCAAUGACUGCCGUGCCGAAGCUAACGCAUUAAGUAUCCCGCCUGGGGAGUACGGCCGCAAGGCUAAAACUCAAAGGAAUUGACGGGUCCCCGCACAAGCGGCGGAGCAUGCGGCUUAAUUCGAUGCAACCCGAAGAACCUUACCUGGGUUUGACAUCACGGGAAAAGCUGUAGAAAUACAGUGUCCAUUAGGGCCCGUGACAGGUGGUGCAUGGCUGUCGUCAGCUCGUGUCGUGAGAUGUUGGGUUAAGUCCCGCAACGAGCGCAACCCUUGUCCUAUGUUGCCAGCGGUUCGGCCGGGGACUCAUAGGAGACUGCCGGGGAUAACUCGGAGGAAGGUGAGGACGACGUCAAGUCAUCAUGCCCCUUAUAUCCAGGGCUGCACGCAUGCUACAAUGGCCGGUACAACGGGCAGCGACCCCGCGAGGGUGAGCGAAUCCUAAAAAGCCGGUCCUAGUUCGGAUUGAAGUCUGCAACUCGA
Molecule: ribosomal RNA, 538 nt
Filed under: uncultured bacterium
Lineage: Bacteria
Description: bacterial SSU rRNA
Rfam family: Bacterial small subunit ribosomal RNA
Source: RNAcentral